AAUGAACGCUGGCGGCAUGCCUAACACAUGCAAGUCGAACGAUAACGUCCGUUCGGGUGGCGACGGGUUGCGUAAGGCUGGGUAACAUGCCCUUACGUGCCCGAUCGCUGCCGGAAAGGGGUGCUAAGCUUUGAUAAUAUCGCAUGCCCAAAGAGGUAUCGCCUUUGGAUGGGCCAGGGUUUGAUCAGAUAGUUGGUAGGGUAAAAGCCUACGAAGUCGACGAUCCAUAGCUGGUCUGAGAGGAUGAUCAGCCACACUGGGACUGAGACACGGCCCAGACUCCUACGGGAGGCAGCAGUGGGGAAUAUUGGACAAUGGGCGAAAGCCUGAUCCAGCAAUGCCGCGUGAGUGAUGAAGGCCUUAGGGUUGUAAAGCUCUUUUACCCGGGAUGAUAAUGACAGUACCGGGAGAAUAAGCUCCGGCUAACUCCGUG
RNAcentral lists this ribosomal RNA (433 nucleotides) under uncultured bacterium. Its description in RNAcentral is "partial 16S ribosomal RNA". It matches the Rfam family "Bacterial small subunit ribosomal RNA", at positions 29 to 507 of the family's 1533-position model. The record is from RNAcentral.